RNAcentral lists this ribosomal RNA (247 nucleotides) under Citrobacter sp. RHBSTW-01065. Its description in RNAcentral is "partial 23S ribosomal RNA". It matches the Rfam family "Bacterial large subunit ribosomal RNA", at positions 2407 to 2653 of the family's 2925-position model. The record is from RNAcentral. Lineage: Bacteria; Pseudomonadati; Pseudomonadota; Gammaproteobacteria; Enterobacterales; Enterobacteriaceae.
AGGUCUUAGUGAUCCGGUGGUUCUGAAUGGAAGGGCCAUCGCUCAACGGAUAAAAGGUACUCCGGGGAUAACAGGCUGAUACCGCCCAAGAGUUCAUAUCGACGGCGGUGUUUGGCACCUCGAUGUCGGCUCAUCACAUCCUGGGGCUGAAGUAGGUCCCAAGGGUAUGGCUGUUCGCCAUUUAAAGUGGUACGCGAGCUGGGUUUAGAACGUCGUGAGACAGUUCGGUCCCUAUCUGCCGUGGGCG